GAUGAAGAACGUAGCGAAAUGCGAUACGUAAUGUGAAUUGCAGAAUUCAGUGAAUCAUCGAAUCUUUGAACGCAUAUUGCGCUCUCUGGUAUUCCGGAGAGCAUGCUUGUUUGAGUAUCAGUAAACACCUCAACUUCCAUAUCUUUUUUGAAAUGGGAGUUGGACUUGAGUGAUCCCAACGCUUUUCCUCACCGAAAAGUGGCGGGUUACUUGAAAUGCAGGUGCAGCUGGACUUUUCUCUGAGCUAUAAGCAUAUCUAUUUAGUCUGCCUAAAAAACAGAUUAUUACCUUUGAUGCAGCUAACAUAAAGGAGAUUAGUUCUUGUGCUGACUGAUGCAGGAUUCACAAAGACGGCUUCGGCCGACUUUGUAAACUCGAUCUCAAAUCAAGUAAGACUACCCGCUGAACUUAAGCAUAUCAAUAAGCGGAGGA
RNAcentral lists this unclassified non-coding RNA (432 nucleotides) under soil metagenome. Its description in RNAcentral is "partial contains 5.8S ribosomal RNA, internal transcribed spacer 2, and large subunit ribosomal RNA". The stretch from base 1 to 120 matches the Rfam family "5.8S ribosomal RNA", at positions 35 to 154 of the family's 154-position model. The record is from RNAcentral.